Molecule: non-coding RNA, 208 nt
Organism: Myotis brandtii (Brandt's bat)
Lineage: Eukaryota; Metazoa; Chordata; Mammalia; Chiroptera; Vespertilionidae
Source: Rfam
AGCUUUUACGAGGUACCAGCACUUUUCUUUCAUUAGGGGGAAGGAGUGAGGAAAGGACCAAACAGCAGCAGACUUUUAAAACUUUUAAGUACAGGCAGGUCUGAGUGCCUGGACCUGCCUUUUCAUUUUACUUCACCCUCUAAGGAGUUCGAUCAGUUGGCGUGCCUACUUCACUUCUUUUAAGAGAAAGAGUAAGUUUGUUGUUUUG